AACGAACGCUGGCGGCAGGCCUAACACAUGCAAGUCGAACGAAGUAGCAAUACUUAGUGGCAGACGGGUGAGUAACAUGUAGGUAUCUGCCCUUUGGCCUGGAAUAACACGAGGAAACUUGUGCUAAUACCGGAUAAGUCUUUACGGAGAAAGCUUUAUGCACCAUUGGAUGAGCCUGCACUUGAUUAGUUUGUUGGUGGGGUAACGGCCCACCAAGGCGACGAUCGG
RNAcentral lists this ribosomal RNA (228 nucleotides) under uncultured Alphaproteobacteria bacterium. RNAcentral's name for it is "partial 16S ribosomal RNA". It matches the Rfam family "Bacterial small subunit ribosomal RNA", at positions 29 to 283 of the family's 1533-position model. Lineage: Bacteria; Pseudomonadati; Pseudomonadota; Alphaproteobacteria. The record is from RNAcentral.